Molecule: non-coding RNA, 58 nt
Organism: Salmo salar (Atlantic salmon)
Lineage: Eukaryota; Metazoa; Chordata; Actinopteri; Salmoniformes; Salmonidae
Source: Rfam
UGGCUCGCUUGGUAGAGCAUGGCACUUGCAAUGCCAGGGUUGUGGGUUUGAUUCCCAU